CCUUACUCCGGGCCCCGGGCGCCCGCUCCGCGCCGCGUCUGCGAACCGGUGACCUGGUUUCCCCUCCAGCCCUCCCGGCGGUCCGACUCGCGCGGCGGCGGCGGUGGCGGCGGCGGCAGCCAAGAGCAGGCAAACCCGGCUCCGCCAGGGGCGCAGCGAGGAAAUGGCCUCCCGGCCGCACGCCCCGCCGCCGCCGCCGCCGCUGCCGACCGGGGCCGCCUGGCUGGCACCCGACGCCCCCCGCCCGGCUCGGGGCCAGCGCUGUGAAGUGUCCGCCAGUCCCGGCUCGCGGACCACUACCCGGCGGGCUGCACACACGCCGCCCGGGGCUGGCCGCCUCCGCACCUGCCGCCCCAGCUUCUUGUGAGCAUCUCACGGAAAGGGGCGAGAAGCCACCACCCCUGCUGACAGCAUUAACAACCACAACUGUCAAGAAGCCUAGAAUUGUUCCCGGCGCCUGGAUGCAGUGUUUCAGCGCGCUUCAAGAGGAAAAAUCGCAGACCUCGCGGCCCCCUGGGAAGUUCCCGGGCUUUGCUCCAAAGCUGCCCCGGGAUGUUUUGGUUGGUUUGGAGGAAAGCUGGGGAGUCUGCACCAUUUAUUCCAAACAGGCGGCCCCCUGGUGGCUAACUGUGGGUGAAAAAGCUGGCCACGGAGGAAAAAGCCCGGCUCUGAAAGGCCACAACAGUUGACAGCCGGCUCUUCGCAGGGACCACGGAGCUGCGUGAACAAUUUUGUAACAAAGAGAGAGGGUGCUGUCAAUCUUCCUUCACAAAGGUGGAUAAAGAGCCCUAAAGCUUGCUGGAACUUUUCCUUUUUUCUCUUCUUGAGUAUAACUUGGAGCUAAAUUCCUCCUUGAGAAGGAAACAUCAUACAGAGAAUGAAUUACGUACAACAAAAACUGUUGCUUCCCUUUGUUCAAAUGGCUUUGUUUUUCUGCUCUCAUUUUGCCUGGAAACUUGUGAAAUAAAGAGUAAAUUAAAGCAUUAAAUAAAUAACGUGACAUUAUGCAAACAAUUCAUGAAACUGUGAUUGUAAUAAUGUUAUAUGACAAUGGGGGAGGGCAAUUUUAAUGCAACCUUAUUGAAACAGCAUGAACUACUAGGAUUCCCUUUGAACCGACCCUCUGAAGGCAGUCUUACAGGCUGCAUGGUGAUAAAGAAGGGUUACCAACAGAAGAUGGCAUUUAUUUUUCUGAUUUUACACAAGAGGGG
Molecule: long non-coding RNA, 1211 nt
Filed under: Equus caballus (horse)
Lineage: Eukaryota; Metazoa; Chordata; Mammalia; Perissodactyla; Equidae
Description: lncRNA (ENSECAG00000049936.1)
Source: RNAcentral